AAAAUCCGUCGAUUCUUUAAAUCAUGAGGGUUCAAGUCCCUCUAUCCCC
This 49-nucleotide transfer RNA is filed under the name Costularia leucocarpa. Its description in RNAcentral is "partial tRNA-Leu". Lineage: Eukaryota; Viridiplantae; Streptophyta; Magnoliopsida; Poales; Cyperaceae. The record is from RNAcentral. RNAcentral also lists the same sequence under 1 other name.